Molecule: ribosomal RNA, 1753 nt
Filed under: Salmonella enterica
Lineage: Bacteria; Pseudomonadati; Pseudomonadota; Gammaproteobacteria; Enterobacterales; Enterobacteriaceae
Description: partial 23S ribosomal RNA
Rfam family: Bacterial large subunit ribosomal RNA
Source: RNAcentral
GUCGAGUUGGCUUAGGGAUACGUUCGUUGGGUAGGGGAGCGUUCUGUAAGCCGUUGAAGGUGUGUCGUGAGGCAUGCUGGAGGUAUCAGAAGUGCGAAUGCUGACAUAAGUAACGAUAAAGCGGGUGAAAAGCCCGCUCGCCGGAAGACCAAGGGUUCCUGUCCAACGUUAAUCGGGGCAGGGUGAGUCGACCCCUAAGGCGAGGCCGAAAGGCGUAGUCGAUGGGAAACGGGUUAAUAUUCCCGUACUUGGUGUUACUGCGAAGGGGGGACGGAGAAGGCUAUGUUGGCCGGGCGACGGUUGUCCCGGUUUAAGCGUGUAGGCUGACUUUCCAGGCAAAUCCGGAGAGUCAAGGCUGAGGCGUGACGACGAGGCACCACGGUGCUGAAGCAACAAAUGCCCUGCUUCCAGGAAAAGCCUCUAAGCCUCAGGUAACAUCAAAUCGUACCCCAAACCGACACAGGUGGUCAGGUAGAGAAUACCAAGGCGCUUGAGAGAACUCGGGUGAAGGAACUAGGCAAAAUGGUGCCGUAACUUCGGGAGAAGGCACGCUGACACGUAGGUGAAGCGGUUUACCCGUGGAGCUGAAGUCAGUCGAAGAUACCAGCUGGCUGCAACUGUUUAUUAAAAACACAGCACUGUGCAAACACGAAAGUGGACGUAUACGGUGUGACGCCUGCCCGGUGCCGGAAGGUUAAUUGAUGGGGUCAGCGCAAGCGAAGCUCCUGAUCGAAGCCCCGGUAAACGGCGGCCGUAACUAUAACGGUCCUAAGGUAGCGAAAUUCCUUGUCGGGUAAGUUCCGACCUGCACGAAUGGCGUAAUGAUGGCCAGGCUGUCUCCACCCGGGACUCAGUGAAAUUGAACUCGCUGUGAAGAUGCAGUGUACCCGCGGCAAGACGGAAAGACCCCGUGAACCUUUACUAUAGCUUGACACUGAACACUGGUCCUUGAUGUGCAGGAUAGGUGGGAGGCUUUGAAGUGUGGACGCCAGUCUGCAUGGAGCCAUCCUUGAAAUACCACCCUUUAAUGGCUGGUGUUCUAACGUGGACCCGUAAUCCGGGUUGCGGACAGUGUCUGGUGGGUAGUUUGACUGGGGCGGUCUCCUCCUAAAGAGUAACGGAGGAGCACGAAGGUUGGCUAAUCCUGGUCGGACAUCAGGAGGUUAGUGCAAUGGCAUAAGCCAGCUUGACUGCGAGCGUGACGGCGCGAGCAGGUGCGAAAGCAGGUCAUAGUGAUCCGGUGGUUCUGAAUGGAAGGGCCAUCGCUCAACGGAUAAAAGGUACUCCGGGGAUAACAGGCUGAUACCGCCCAAGAGUUCAUAUCGACGGCGGUGUUUGGCACCUCGAUGUCGGCUCAUCACAUCCUGGGGCUGAAGUAGGUCCCAAGGGUAUGGCUGUUCGCCAUUUAAAGUGGUACGCGAGCUGGGUUUAGAACGUCGUGAGACAGUUCGGUCCCUAUCUGCCGUGGGCGCUGGAAGAUUGAGGGGGGCUGCUCCUAGUACGAGAGGACCGGAGUGGACGCAUCACUGGUGUUCGGGUUGUCAUGCCAAUGGCACUGCCCGGUAGCUACAUGCGGAAGAGAUAAGUGCUGAAAGCAUCUAAGCACGAAACUUGCCCCGAGAUGAAUCUUCCCUGAGCCUUUAAGGCUCCUGAAGGAACGUUGAAGACGACGACGUUGAUAGGCCGGGUGUGUAAGCGCAGCGAUGCGUUGAGCUAACCGGUACUAAUGAACCGUGAGGCUUAACCUUACAAC